This 324-nucleotide ribosomal RNA is filed under the name uncultured beta proteobacterium. RNAcentral describes it as "bacterial SSU rRNA". It matches the Rfam family "Bacterial small subunit ribosomal RNA", at positions 171 to 490 of the family's 1533-position model. Lineage: Bacteria; Pseudomonadati; Pseudomonadota; Betaproteobacteria. The record is from RNAcentral.
GCAUAAUCUCUGAGGAGAAAAGCAGGGGAUCGCAAGACCUUGCGCUUUUGGAGCGGCCGAUGUCUGAUUAGCUAGUUGGUGAGGUAAAGGCUUACCAAGGCUUCGAUCAGUAGCUGGUCUGAGAGGACGACCAGCCACACUGGGACUGAGACACGGCCCAGACUCCUACGGGAGGCAGCAGUGGGGAAUUUUGGACAAUGGGGGCAACCCUGAUCCAGCCAUGCCGCGUGAGUGAAGAAGGCCUUCGGGUUGUAAAGCUCUUUCAGCCGGAACGAAACGGUCACGGUUAUUAACUGUGAUCACUGACGGUACCGGAAGAAGAAG